GUGCUCACUUGGCAGUAUAUGUACUAAGAUUAGACUGAUAUAGAAAAGUUAGCAUCGUUCCCACACAAGGUUGACAUGUAAAUUUGUGAAGCGCUCCAUAGUUUU
Hyaena hyaena (striped hyena) is the source of this 105-nucleotide small nuclear RNA. Lineage: Eukaryota; Metazoa; Chordata; Mammalia; Carnivora; Hyaenidae. The record is from RefSeq and is a predicted model, not a curated record.